Molecule: ribosomal RNA, 497 nt
Filed under: uncultured bacterium
Lineage: Bacteria
Description: partial 16S ribosomal RNA
Rfam family: Bacterial small subunit ribosomal RNA
Source: RNAcentral
GAUGAACGCUGGCGGCGUGCCUAAUACAUGCAAGUCGAACGAACAGACGAGGAGUUUGCUCCUCUGUCGUUAGCGGCGGACGGGUGAGUAACACGUGGAUCACCUACCUAUAAGACUGGGAUAACUUCGGGACACCGGAGCUAAUACCUGAUAAUCUAUUGAACCGCAUGGUUCAAUAGUUAAAGACGGUUUUGCUGCUACUUAUUGAUGAUUCCGCGCCGCAUUAGCUAGUUGGUAAGGUAACGGCUUACCAAGGCGACGAUGCGUAGGCGACCUGAGAGGGUGAUCGGCCACACUGGAACUGAGACACGGUCCAGACUCCUACGGGUGGCAGCAGUAGGGAAUCUUCCGCAAUGAGCGAAAGCCGGACGGAGCAGCGCCGCGUGAGUGAUGAAGGUCUUCGGAUCGUAAAACUCUGUUAUUAGGGAAGAACAAAUGUGUAAGUAACUAUGCACGUCUUGACGGUACCUAAACAGAAAGCCACGGCUAACUACGUG